Molecule: ribosomal RNA, 503 nt
Filed under: uncultured Oxalobacteraceae bacterium
Lineage: Bacteria; Pseudomonadati; Pseudomonadota; Betaproteobacteria; Burkholderiales; Oxalobacteraceae
Description: bacterial SSU rRNA
Rfam family: Bacterial small subunit ribosomal RNA
Source: RNAcentral
UCCUGGCGUCAGAUUGUAACGGCUGGCGGCGAUGCUUUACUACAUGCAAGUCGAACGGCGAGCGCGGGGCGAACCUGGCGGCGAGUGGCGAACGGGUGAGUAAUAUAUCGGAACGUACCCAACGAUGGGGGAGUAACGUAGCGAAAGUUAACGCUAAUACCGCAUACGAUCCAAGGAUGAAAGCAGGGGAGUCUUCGGACCUUGUGCUCCUGGAGCAGCCGAUAUCUGAUUAGCUAGUUGGUGAGGUAAAGGCUCACCAAGGCGACGAUCAGUAGCUGGUCUGAGAGGACGACCAGCCACACUGGAACUGAGACACGGUCCAGACUCCUACGGGAGGCAGCAGUGGGGAAUUUUGGACAAUGGGCGAAAGCCUGAUCCAGCAAUGCCGCGUGGGUGAAGAAGGCCUUCGGGUUGUAAAGCUCUUUUGUCAGGGAAGAAACGGUUGAGGCUAAUAUCCUCGACUAAUGACGGUACCUGAAGAAUAAGCACCGGCUAACUACGUG